CUCAACAGAAUUUAUUUAAAAAAUGUUUUGAUUUUUUUAGAAGCAUUUGAAAAUUGACUUCCUAUACUUUGCCAUGUAAAAUAAUCGGAGCUUCACGCAUAGGGUCAACUGUGGCAAUUACCUUCGUAGACGCGAAUUGCUCGAUGAAUUAUUGGAUUAGUUUCCUAGAACUCAUCCAUUCCUCAAUGCUGUUUCUCAAUUUAUGUAUCGAUUUGUUUUUGGCAUGCUACUUGUUCUGUCGAUUUAAUUGUCCGAACACAUGAUACUUAUGAGUAAUAGGUAUCAGGAAACCUUCAAAUGUUUUCAAAUUUUGUACAUCAUUGCCUUGCACAUGUGUAUUGUUUGAACAGUUGUUGGGUUGUCGCUUUCAUUAAUCAAACCAUUCUUUCUGUCGUUCUACGCAGUAUUGAACAAAGUAUAUGAUAUAUCAGUUCUUAAUUUUCAUUCAACCUACUAAGAUGUUCGGAGCUCUAGCAGCAGCCAUAGAAGAUAAGCCAGCGGUUUCCCAAGUAUCCCAGCACAUCGUCCAAAAUGCCAAAAAUGUCCGACAGGGUCAUCCUGAUUUUGUCAACUGUACCAUCGGAUUGCCUCCAAAAUGGGCUCGGGAUAACGUACAAGAUAAUCCCAUCCCCAAAAUGACCAAGGAGGACGACCACAGUGACGAACUCCGUUUCGCGAAACAAAAACCAAUGUCGAAAAAGGAAUGAAAUAAAAUCGUAAUACUGAGUGACAACCAAA
This is a long non-coding RNA of Aedes aegypti (yellow fever mosquito), 738 nucleotides long. RefSeq lists it as uncharacterized. The record is from RefSeq and is a predicted model, not a curated record. The transcript has 2 exons. NCBI's taxonomy places the organism in Eukaryota, Metazoa, Arthropoda, Insecta, Diptera, Culicidae.